RNAcentral lists this long non-coding RNA (203 nucleotides) under Vitis vinifera (wine grape). Its description in RNAcentral is "long non-coding RNA (VVIN_LNC006819)". Lineage: Eukaryota; Viridiplantae; Streptophyta; Magnoliopsida; Vitales; Vitaceae. The record is from RNAcentral.
ACGCCAACAAAAGUAGCCUUCGCUACCCAUAGCUGAUGAUCGGCUUCUAAAGGGUACUGACAUCCUUAGUCAUUCCCACAGAUGAUGCCAAUGUUGGUUCUAAGCUAGCUGAAGUCAGAUUCGUCCAACUUAAUGGAAGUUUGACAACUUUCCUCCAUUUUUUGUGCUUCUUAGAGAAUCCACCUAGCAAUAAUGAGAUUUGG